GACGGGGGGGGCAAGUGUUCUUCGGAAUUACUGGGCGUAAAGGGCUCGUAGGCGGCCAACUAAGUCAGACGUGAAAUCCCUAGGCUCAACCUAGGAACUGCGUCUGAUACUGGAUGGCUUGAAUCCGGGAGAGGGAUGCAGAAUUCCAGGUGUAGCGGUGAAAUGCGUAGAUAUCUGGAGGAAUACCGGUGGCGAAGGCGGCAUCCUGGACCGGCAUUGACGCUGAGGAGCGAAAGCCAGGGGAGCAAACGGG
This 253-nucleotide ribosomal RNA is filed under the name uncultured bacterium. Its description in RNAcentral is "partial 16S ribosomal RNA". It matches the Rfam family "Bacterial small subunit ribosomal RNA", at positions 524 to 776 of the family's 1533-position model. The record is from RNAcentral.